GCCCUGGUAGCUCAAUUGGUUAGAGCGUCGGACUUUUAUAUGUUUCUACUAUUAACAUGUCUGACAUCCGAAGGCUGCGGGUUCGACCCCCGCCUGGGGCG
This is a non-coding RNA of Poronia punctata, 101 nucleotides long. The record is from the annotation of a GenBank genome assembly. Lineage: Eukaryota; Fungi; Ascomycota; Sordariomycetes; Xylariales; Xylariaceae.